RNAcentral lists this transfer RNA (77 nucleotides) under Aliiglaciecola sp. RNAcentral describes it as "tRNA-Arg". It matches the Rfam family "tRNA". From Rfam's summary of the family: Transfer RNA (tRNA) molecules are approximately 80 nucleotides in length. The record is from RNAcentral. Lineage: Bacteria; Pseudomonadati; Pseudomonadota; Gammaproteobacteria; Alteromonadales; Alteromonadaceae.
GCACCUGUAGCUCAGCUGGAUAGAGCGCUGCCCUCCGGAGGCAGAGGUCAGAGGUUCGAAUCCUCUCAGGUGCGCCA